CUGUGAGUUCCCGUGGCAGGUUCUUUAGGAACCAUGGAUGGCUCUUUAUUUCCAUCAUUGUGAUUCUCUGGAAAUAGUUGUAAAAAAUAUGGCAUCAACACUCGGCAGGAUUAUCAUGACUGUCAUUUACAGGUGAAGAUUGACUGGAAUGAGGGCAAAGUGAUGUGGAGGAAGAGAAAUGCUAGCAGACAUUGGAUGGUUAUUUACAGCAUUGACUAUAGCCUGUCACCUGAACGGUCUUGCGUAUAUUCUUGGGAUCAUCCGGGUCUUCAAAUGGGUAUGCUCCCACAAGCAUGACGUAAAGAGUCACCCCACAGGACCAGACAUCUGCAA
Long non-coding RNA from Panicum virgatum (switchgrass), 333 nucleotides. RefSeq lists it as uncharacterized. The record is from RefSeq and is a predicted model, not a curated record. The transcript is spliced from 2 exons. Lineage: Eukaryota; Viridiplantae; Streptophyta; Magnoliopsida; Poales; Poaceae.